CCGGCGACCGGCGCACGGGUGAGUAACACGUAUGCAACCUGCCCUCUUCAGGGGACAACCUUCCGAAAGGGAGGCUAAUCCCGCGUAUAUCGGUUUCGGGCAUCCGAGAUCGAGGAAAGAUUCAUCGGAAGAGGAUGGGCAUGCGGCGCAUUAGCUAGACGGCGGGGUAACGGCCCACCGUGGCGACGAUGCGUAGGGGUUCUGAGAGGAAGGUCCCCCACACUGGUACUGAGACACGGACCAGACUCCUACGGGAGGCAGCAG
This 264-nucleotide ribosomal RNA is filed under the name uncultured bacterium. RNAcentral's name for it is "partial 16S ribosomal RNA". It matches the Rfam family "Bacterial small subunit ribosomal RNA", at positions 88 to 354 of the family's 1533-position model. The record is from RNAcentral.